RNAcentral lists this long non-coding RNA (762 nucleotides) under Danio rerio (zebrafish). RNAcentral's name for it is "si:ch211-216p19.4 (ENSDARG00000099215.2)". Lineage: Eukaryota; Metazoa; Chordata; Actinopteri; Cypriniformes; Danionidae. The record is from RNAcentral.
AAACAAAGGCCUUCGUGAGUUCAGCAUAUAGAUUUAUUCAUUGUAAUAUAUAUACUGUUCAAACAAAUACAAAAACUAUAACAAACAAGAAGACUCUGAUACAAAUCGUUCACCCCCUGUUCCGUGUAAGUGGCAAACAGAGCUUUAUCGCCUCAGAUUCACACGGUAGGCAGUGCUGGAUACUGAGGCACAGCUCAGGAGCAGCAUUACAACAACCAAAGAUGCUCAAUGCACACCUUUGGUUAUUCAGUCAGUCUGUGGUGAAUUGGUAACGACAGGCCUCGUCGACGACCACGACAGAGGAACCCAAAAGGCAGUGUUUAUUGUCCGAUGGAGUAGAAAGCAGCUGCUAAGAAACCAGCGAACAGAGAUCGAGGAGCAGCUGGUCUCUGUUCAUGACUCUCUCCUGAGCUUCAGCCCCCAGUGCAACCCCCUCUUUAUACAAAAGGCAAACUAUAGAGUCGGCUGAUUUGGGCGUCUCCUCGCCCUCUGCUGACAGUGGAGCAGUCUGCUCCUUCAGCUCAAUCCCCUCUGCAGACUCAUCGGUUUUCUUUACUUCCUCCAUUGGAUACACCACCACACAGAAUUUCUGGCCCAGGGAGGGAGGGACUGACCGAGAGGAGGUGAACAGGGAGCCGUUGACCCCCCCAAAUGUGGACAAGGCCACAGAGAUGGGCAUGAUCCAUGACAUCACCCCCAACAGCUUCUCACCAAACGUCUGGGAGAGAGCAACAGAGUGGUGAAGGAGAGAAAAGAGACAAG